GCUCCUAGUGAGUGGUGUGAGGGCAGGAGAGUCUAGGCAGAAACUGGGCUCUUCUGAUUGAAAUGCUUUACUGCUUUCUCAGAUGUGGCCAGCAUUGUUCCUGUCUCCUUCGCCUCCCAGAAUGACUAGUGCUUGAGACUACAAUCCUGAAUGGUUUGCUUAAGUUCACUCCCUCUUCUGAGAACAGGAAGUCAAAAGGUGAGUGACAGAGCCACCUGCUGCUCUCUCCUUUGCAUAGGUCUAACAGGAGCCUGGGUGAGCUCCUUGGAUGGCUGGUGAACAGGAGCACCUUAUCUAUCUGGGAGGUACGAAGGCAAAGGUUGUACUGUUAAUUUGCACCUCAACACAACCAACCUUAACCUUCACUCCACAGACUCACAGUGUUGGAGAAAGCUCCCCUAAGCAGCCAAGAAGGUACCAAAGAGAAGAGAUCUCUUCUGCCAUCAGAAGUUUGGAGUUGAACUUGACAUUUCUGGGAUCCUGUUUCGUUAGUUUAUAAUCAGAGGCUCUUUGUUCUGUUCAGAGAACCCACUGCCCUCCUCUGCUGGGCGAGGCUU
This 557-nucleotide long non-coding RNA is filed under the name Mus spicilegus (steppe mouse). RNAcentral describes it as "lncRNA (ENSMSIG00000024453.1)". The record is from RNAcentral. Lineage: Eukaryota; Metazoa; Chordata; Mammalia; Rodentia; Muridae.